CACCCAAAAUCGUAUCACAACA
Molecule: small nuclear RNA, 22 nt
Filed under: Arabidopsis thaliana (thale cress)
Lineage: Eukaryota; Viridiplantae; Streptophyta; Magnoliopsida; Brassicales; Brassicaceae
Description: snRNA_11882
Source: RNAcentral